UACAGAGGGUGCAAGCGUUAAUCGGAUUUACUGGGCGUAAAGCGUGCGUAGGCGGUUCAUUAAGUCGGUUGUGAAAUCCCUGGGCUUAACCUGGGGACUGCAGUCGAUACUGGUGAACUAGAAUGCGGUAGAGGGUGGCGGAACUCCGGGUGUAGCGGUGAAAUUCGUAGAUAUCAAGCGGAACACCGGUGGCGAAGGCGGCCUUCUGGACAGUGACUGACGCUGAGACGCGAAAGCGUGGGGAGCAAACAGG
Molecule: ribosomal RNA, 253 nt
Filed under: uncultured bacterium
Lineage: Bacteria
Description: partial 16S ribosomal RNA
Rfam family: Bacterial small subunit ribosomal RNA
Source: RNAcentral